CCUACGGGCGGCAGCAGUGAGGAAUAUUGGUCAAUGGGCGCGAGCCUGAACCAGCCAAGUAGCGUGAAGGAGGACUGCCCUACGGGUUGUAAACUUCUGUUAUAAAGGAAUAAAGUGAGGCACGUGUGCCGUUUUGUAUGUACUUUAUGAAUAAGGAUCGGCUAACUCCGUGCCAGCAGCCGCGGUAAUACGGAGGAUCCGAGCGUUAUCCGGAUUUAUUGGGUUUAAAGGGAGCGUAGAUGGGUUGUUAAGUCAGUUGGGAAAGUUUGCGGCUCCACCGUAAAAUUGCAAUUGAUACUGGCAGUCUUGAGUACCGUUGCGGUCGGCUGCAUUCGUGGUGUAGCG
Molecule: ribosomal RNA, 345 nt
Filed under: uncultured bacterium
Lineage: Bacteria
Description: partial 16S ribosomal RNA
Rfam family: Bacterial small subunit ribosomal RNA
Source: RNAcentral